Molecule: ribosomal RNA, 1234 nt
Filed under: uncultured bacterium
Lineage: Bacteria
Description: partial 16S ribosomal RNA
Rfam family: Bacterial small subunit ribosomal RNA
Source: RNAcentral
UAGCUUGUUGGUGAGGUAACGGCUCACCAAGGCAUCGACGGGUAGCUGGUCUGAGAGGACGAUCAGCCACACUGGGACUGAGACACGGCCCAGACUCCUACGGGAGGCAGCAGUAGGGAAUCUUGCGCAAUGGGCGAAAGCCUGACGCAGCGACACCGCGUGGGGGAUGAAUGCCUUCGGGUUGUAAACCCCUUUCAGCAGGGACGAAAAUGACGGUACCUGCAGAAGAAGCUCCGGCCAACUACGUGCCAGCAGCCGCGGUAAUACGUAGGGCGCAAGCGUUGUCCGGAUUUAUUGGGCGUAAAGAGCUCGUAGGCGGUUCAACAAGUCGGUCGUAAAAGUUCAGGGCUCAACCCUGAAAUGUCGAUCGAUACUGUUGUGACUAGGAUACGGUAGAGGUGAGUGGAAUUCCGAGUGUAGCGGUGAAAUGCGUAGAUAUUCGGAGGAACACCAAUUGCGAAGGCAGCUCACUGGGCCGCUAUCGACGCUGAGGAGCGAAAGCUAGGGGAGCAAACAGGAUUAGAUACCCUCGUAGUCCAUGCCGUAAACGAUGUGUGUUAGACGUUGGAAAUUUAUUUUCAGUGUCACAGCGAAAGCGAUAAACACACCGCCUGGGGAGUACGACCGCAAGGUUAAAACUCAAAUGAAUUGACGGGGACCCGCACAAGUAGUGGAGCAUGGGGUUUAAUUCGAAGAUGCGCGCAGAACCUUACCAACACUUGACAUGUUCGUCGCGACUUUAAGAGAUUAAAGUUUUCGGUUCGGCCGGACGAAACACAGGUGCUGCAUGGCUGUCGUCAGCUCGUGUCGUGAGAUGUUGGGUUAAGUCCCGCAACGAGCGCAACCCUCACUUUUAGUUGCCAUCAUUUAGUUGGGCACUCUGAAAGAACUGCCAGUGAUAAGCUGGAGGAAGGUGGGGAUGACGUCAAGUCCUCAUGGCCCUUACGUGUUGGGCUACACACGUGCUACAAUGGCAUCUACAAUAGGAAGCAAAAUGGCGACAUUGAGCAAAUCCUAAAAAGAUGCCUCAGUUCGGAUUGCACUCUGCAACUCGAGUGCAUGAAGCUGGAAUUACUAGUAAUCGCGGAUCAGCGCGCCGCGGUGAAUACGUUCCCGGGUCUUGUACACACCGCCCGUCACACCAUGGGAGUUGGUUCUACCUUAAGGCAAGGUUUCAAAACCUUGACCACUGUAUAGUCAGCGACUGGGGUGAAGUCGUAACAAGGUAGCCGUA